ACUCCUACGGGAGGCAGCAGUGAGGAAUAUUGGACAAUGGGUGAGAGCCUGAUCCAGCCAUCCCGCGUGAAGGAUGACGGCCCUAUGGGUUGUAAACUUCUUUUGUAUAGGGAUAAACCUACCCUCGUGAGGGUAGCUGAAGGUACUAUACGAAUAAGCACCGGCUAACUCCGUGCCAGCAGCCGCGGUAAUACGGAGGGUGCAAGCGUUAUCCGGAUUUAUUGGGUUUAAAGGGUCCGUAGGCGGACUCGUAAGUCAGUGGUGAAAUCUCAUAGCUUAACUAUGAAACUGCCAUUGAUACUGCGGGUCUUGAGUAAGGUAGAGGUAGCUGGAAUAAGUAGUGUAGCGGUGAAAUGCAUAGAUAUUACUUAGAACACCAAUUGCGAAGGCAGGUUACCAUGUCUUAACUGACGCUGAUGGACGAAAGCGUGGGGAGCGAACAGGAUUAGAUACCCUGGUAGUCCACGCCGUAAACGAUGCUAACUCGUUUUUGGGUUUUCGGAUUCAGAGACUAAGCGAAAGUGAUAAGUUAGCCACCUGGGGAGUACGAACGCAAGUUUGAAACUCAAAGGAAUUGACGGGGGCCCGCACAAGCGGUGGAUUAUGUGGUUUAAUUCGAUGAUACGCGAGGAACCUUACCAAGGCUUAAAUGGGAAAUGACAGGCUUAGAAAUAGGCUUUUCUUCGGACAUUUUUCAAGGUGCUGCAUGGUUGUCGUCAGCUCGUGCCGUGAGGUGUUAGGUUAAGUCCUGCAACGAGCGCAACCCCUGUCACUAGUUGCCAUCAUUCAGUUGGGGACUCUAGUGAGACUGCCUACGCAAGUAGAGAGGAAGGUGGGGAUGACGUCAAAUCAUCACGGCCCUUACGCCUUGGGCCACACACGUAAUACAAUGGCCAGUACAGAGGGCUGCUACCAGGCGACUGGAUGCUAAUCUCGAAAGCUGGUCUCAGUUCGGAUUGGAGUCUGCAACUCGACUCUAUGAAGCUGGAAUCGCUAGUAAUCGCGCAUCAGCC
This 1013-nucleotide ribosomal RNA is filed under the name bacterium RK78_tank. RNAcentral's name for it is "bacterial SSU rRNA". It matches the Rfam family "Bacterial small subunit ribosomal RNA", at positions 335 to 1354 of the family's 1533-position model. The record is from RNAcentral.